Molecule: ribosomal RNA, 1349 nt
Filed under: uncultured bacterium
Lineage: Bacteria
Description: bacterial SSU rRNA
Rfam family: Bacterial small subunit ribosomal RNA
Source: RNAcentral
ACGAACGCUAGCGGGAGGCCUAACACAUGCAAGUCGAACGGGAUCCCCGAGCAAUCGGGGUGAGAGUGGCGCACGGGUGAGUAACGCGUAUGCAACCUGCCUUUAACUGAGGGAUAGCCCAUAGAAAUGUGGAUUAAUACCUCAUAGUUCUGCGAGACCGCAUGGUUUUGCAGAUAAAGCUCCGGCGGUUAAAGAUGGGCAUGCGUGACAUUAGUUAGUUGGUGAGGUAACGGCUCACCAAGACUACGAUGUCUAGGGGUUCUGAGAGGAUGAUCCCCCACACUGGUACUGAGACACGGACCAGACUCCUACGGGAGGCAGCAGUGAGGAAUAUUGGUCAAUGGGCGCAAGCCUGAACCAGCCAUCCCGCGUGAAGGAUGACGGCCCUAUGGGUUGUAAACUUCUUUUAUACACCAAGAAAAACACCCACGUGUGGGUGCCCGACGGUAGUGUAUGAAUAAGCAUCGGCUAACUCCGUGCCAGCAGCCGCGGUAAUACGGAGGAUGCAAGCGUUAUCCGGAUUUAUUGGGUUUAAAGGGUGCGUAGGCGGUCUAUUAAGUCAGCGGUGAAAGUUUUCAGCUUAACUGGAAAAAUGCCGUUGAUACUGAUAGGCUAGAAUAUGGUUGCUGUGGGUGGAAUGUGUGGUGUAGCGGUGAAAUGCUUAGAUAUCACACAGAAUAUCAAUUGCGAAGGCAGCUCACAAAGCCAUUAUUGACGCUGAGGCACGAAAGUGUGGGGAUCAAACAGGAUUAGAUACCCUGGUAGUCCACACCGUAAACGAUGAUAACUCGCUGUUUGCGAUAUACAGCAAGCGGCUGAGCGAAAGCAUUAAGUGAUCCACCUGGGGAGUACGAUCGCAAGGUUGAAACUCAAAGGAAUUGACGGGGGCCCGCACAAGCGGAGGAACAUGUGGUUUAAUUCGAUGAUACGCGAGGAACCUUACCUGGGCUUAAAUGUAGAUUGCAUGAUGUAGAAAGGCUGAUUCCCUUCGGGGCUGCUUACAAGGUGCUGCAUGGUUGUCGUCAGCUCGUGCCGUGAGGUGUCGGGUUAAGUCCCAUAACGAGCGCAACCCUUAUCGUUAGUUGCCAGCGGGUCAAGCCGGGGACUCUAGCGAGACUGCCACCGUAAGGUGUGAGGAAGGUGGGGAUGACGUCAAAUCAGCACGGCCCUUAUGUCCAGGGCUACACACGUGUUACAAUGGCCAAUACAAAGGGCAGCUACCGGGCGACCGGAUGCUAAUCUCUAAAGCUUGUCUCAGUUCGGAUCGAAGUCUGCAACCCGACUUCGUGAAACUGGAUUCGCUAGUAAUCGCGCAUCAGCCAUGGCGCGGUGAAUACGUUCCCGGGCCU